UACGGAGGGCGCGAGCGUUACCCGGAUUUACUGGGCGUAAAGGGCGUGUAGGCGGUUUGGGGCGUCCCAUGUGAAAGGGCCACGGCUCAACCGUGGAGGAGCGUGGGAUACGCUCAAGCUAGAGGGUGGGAGAAGGUGGUGGAAUUCCCGGAGUAGCGGUGAAAUGCGCAGAUACCGGGAGGAACGCCGAUGGCGAAGGCAGCCACCUGGUCCAUUUCUGACGCUGAGGCGCGAAAGCGUGGGGAGCAAACCGGAUUAGAUACCCGGGUAGUCCACGCCCUAAACGAUGCGCGCUAGGUCUUUGGGGUUUACCUGAGGGCCGAAGCCAACGCGUUAAGCGCGCCGCCUGGGGAGUACGGCCGCAAGGCUGAAACUCAAAGGAAUUGACGGGGGCCCGCACAGGCGGUGGAGCAUGUGGUUUAAUUCGAAGCAACGCGAAGAACCUUACCAGGCCUUGACAUGCUAGGGGACCCAGGUGAAAGCCUGGGGUGCCCGCGAGGGAGCCCUAGCACAGGUGCUGCAUGGCCGUCGUCAGCUCGUGUCGUGAGAUGUUGGGUUAAGUCCCGCAACGAGCGCAACCCCUGCCCUUAGUUGCCAGCGGGUUAGGCCGGGCACUCUAGGGGGACUGCCUGCGAAAGCAGGAGGAAGGCGGGGACGACGUCUGGUCAUCAUGGCCCUUACGGCCUGGGCGACACACGUGCUACAAUGCCCACUACAGAGCGAUGCGACCCAGCGAUGGGGAGCGAAUCGCAAAAAGGUGGGCGUAGUUCGGAUUGGGGUCUGCAACCCGACCCCAUGAAGCCGGAAUCGCUAGUAAUCGCGGAUCAGCCAUGCCGCGGUGAAUACGUUCCCGGGCC
RNAcentral lists this ribosomal RNA (857 nucleotides) under uncultured bacterium. RNAcentral describes it as "bacterial SSU rRNA". It matches the Rfam family "Bacterial small subunit ribosomal RNA", at positions 524 to 1380 of the family's 1533-position model. The record is from RNAcentral.